RNAcentral lists this ribosomal RNA (376 nucleotides) under uncultured eukaryote. RNAcentral describes it as "SSU rRNA". It matches the Rfam family "Eukaryotic small subunit ribosomal RNA", at positions 587 to 969 of the family's 1831-position model. The record is from RNAcentral.
AGCUCCAAUAGCGUAUAUUAAAGUUGUUGCAGUUAAAAAGCUCGUAGUUGGAUUUCGGAGUGGGCCCGUUGGUCCGCCGCAAGGUGUGUUACUGACUGGUCUGCUCUUCUUCGCAAAGACUGCGUGUGCUCUUUGUUGAGUGUGCGUAGGAUUUACGACGUUUACUUUGAAAAAAUUAGAGUGUUCAAAGCAGGCUGUUGCUUGAAUACAUGAGCAUGGAAUAAUGGAAUAGGACUUUGGUCCCAUUUUGUUGGUUUCUAGGACCGAAGUAAUGAUUAAGAGGGACAAUUGGGGGCAUCCGUAUUUCGUUGUCAGAGGUGAAAUUCUUGGAUUUACGAAAGACGAACAACUGCGAAAGCACUUGCCGAGAGUGUUU